GGUGUCUUGUGACUUUUGGAUAAACAUUACACAGGGGAGGAAUUAAUGUUUAAUGCCUCCCUGCUAAACUCAAUUUCACAGUUACUCUUUUUUUCAGACCAGGGUAACUUCAUCAAAGGCUUUGCUGUGUGCACACACCUCUUCUAAAAACUACUAAGAGAUGAUGACAAACCGCAGAAAAUUUCGAUGUGGAAGGAAGCGUGAAAGAAGACCAGGAAAUGAUAACAAUGCUUAAAGUCAGAUAUCUGUUUUUGGAUGGGAUCACUCUUGAAGACUGCCAACACUACCACGCCAAAACAUGCACUUUGUGCCUAUCUUUAACUUGUACAGAAAAGGCUGUCAUUUCUUUAUGUAAUAAUGCUUUUGGAACACUGUGGGAUGGAGAUGGUGGCAGCUUUUAAUAAUCAUAAUGAAUUUCUUGUAUUUAACUUCAAUCUGUAGAACAUAGUCAUGUAGAACAAGAUUCAGAUCAGAUAAUAAAUUGUAAGGGGACAAGGUGGCAGAAUACGACUGUACAGUAUGGUGAGAUAGGAAGUAAGAGCUUGCAUAUCUCUAGUUAACUGUAUGUUAACACAAGCCAGAGAACAUCUACUUCUCUGAUGUCUUACCUUUAACCAGAUCAUUACACAAGGACUAUGGCUUGGCUUACCCAAGACAAAUGUACACUUGCUAUGUUUUUAUUAAUAUUCUUAGUAUUGAUUUUUCAUGGGCAUAUGGAAAAUGGGCAGCUGCAGUCACUUCCAUCACUCAAGGGAUUCAGCCUGCAAGAGUUACCAAAACUAUUGGAGUCACUGGGCAAAAGGGGAAAAGUACCCCAAGUCAGGGCUUUGCCUAAUCAAUGUUUUUACUUAUCUGUGUUUAAUAUUUUCCAACAAUAAAUCAGAUGGGAGAGUAUUAUGCAUCCCAGUCAAAGAUGACAGUCAUCAUGACAGACAGACUCUAUGAUAUUUCUAUUACAGCUGGGUUGACAAUUCAGCAGUAUUUACAGCAUUGUUAUCACAUUUUACAGUUACAAAUCAGAUGCCUGACUGAAGUUAUAACCCUACAUUUCAAAAUGUGCAAGAGGGUAGAACAUGUGACAUGUCUUAAAGUAUAGCACUUAGGUUAGCAUUGCACCUCUGUUUCCAUUUUAACAUGACUACAUAUUUGAAUGCCUUGUGUUAGUGUGACCUGGGGCAUAUUAACCCAAAAAUCAAAUGCUUCCAUAAUCAUUUCAAGAGGGGCAGAUUUGGUACAUGUCUGUGUCCUCAUUCACUCUCCAUCCCCACCAACUCGUAAUUACCCAAUUACAGCCUGCUAUCAUUUAAAUAUACAGGAUAGUACAGGAGAAAGAUGUGUGCUCACACCUAUCUCAUGUUGCUGAUGUGGUUUUGAAGUGAAAUGGAAAAAACAUUGCUUCCUGUUUAUGAACUCCCUGUGUUUGAGUGGGAAGUAACUUUAACACUUCAUUUUUUUUUGGAGUUUAGAUGCACUACCAUUUGAACUAGCCCUCCUUUUCUUAAAGACAGGCUUUACUUAGUUUGUAUAUAGUUUUCUAUUAAUUUUGAUGGUUUGCAAAGUUUUAAAACAGGGCAAAGAAUAUUGACCAGUUUGUUUUUCCGCAUUAUACUCUUUGAGAUUUUUCUAUUAUAGAAAAAAUAUAUAUAAGCAUCUUCCACCUAUACAAUGGUGCUAUUUACCUAAAACUCUAAAACUACAGUUAAACAUGACCUUUUUGUUCCUCGUUUACUUUUUCUCAACCAGGCAGAUUUAAAUUAAAUAGCAAUGGGUGAUGUGUGGCUUAACCAGUUUGCAUUAGAAGUGAAUCAUUUCAAUAAUUCAGUCAAGAAAAUAUUUCAAGAGGUAGUAUACAUUGAAUGCAAUGCGUACUUGUACAGCGAUCACCAAGUGCAUAAACAUUGUUUUCAGGUGAUACUGCUGAUGGAGAAGUCCCCUUGCUUUGCAGCAACUUCAGAGCUGAUAAGAGUAAGUAAGGAGGCACAGAGGGUAAAACUCUCUGCAAUGUGGUGUGGAGGUUUUGUUCCCCUUGCAAAUGUAGGAUCCUUAUUCUUUUUUCUGAAUUCAAGUGAAAUUUGGAAUCUUAAUAUUCAUGAUUAUGACAGAGCCAGAAUAAGAAAACAUAUCUGAAUUAACAGGCAUUUGUCCUACCCCAUUAGUAUUUUGCUCCUGAGCUUAGCACAAUACAAAACUGCUAUGAACACUGUUGCUCUCCAUUGUUUUUUUCCAUGGUUCACGGUUCUAGCCUUAUUUCUACAUUCCAUCCUACUUCACCCCAUCAAACAUGACAGUUAACAAAGCAGUAAACAUACACUUACAAAGAAUUACUACUCUAUGUCUCACUCUCUGCAGUUAUUCCCACUCAUAGUACGAUGAGCAGUAUGUCACAAAGAAAAAUGCUUUCUAACCCACUCAUGGCAAUAUCCUCAAAACUACAAUGACCAGACCCUGGCAGAUAAUACUACUCUUAACCUUGUUCAUGCCAGCAAACCAUUGUCCUCAUUGCAGGUAAGUCACCAGAUACACCACUGCUAUCUUAGCCAUUGCACACUUUCUCCCAGUAUGGAAUGACCACUAACAAGUGCCCAUCUAUACUUCCAAAUGCACCUGUUACCUUCUGUUUGUCUACCCCCUUAUCAUCUACAUUGCAUUGGCUUUCAUUCACCGGACACUGUCUGGUGCCUGGCAAAGAACAAUAUUCUCAGUGUCACUAAUGCUUUGUAUUUAUUAUACUCUUCCUACCACAACUGCCAGUAGGACAGUGACCAAUACAUAAGACUGGAGGAUGUGUUCCAUCCCAUACCCAUGACACCAUCACCAUAAUCAUACAGACUUGUUUCCAUUACCAGACACAGAAAACUACUGCUGACCUUAACCAUGAUAAUGUGAUCCCACCACCAAAUAUGUUAAUAUCCCAAGGAGUAAUAUGCAGCUGUACAUAAAAACCUUCCCACCACCCCAUCUCUGACAUCUUCACCUUAAUUACACAGAAAAGUGUACCAGAUACAGAAAACUCCUAUUACUCUUGUCCAAGAUAAUCUAAUCACAUUGUCAAAGUGU
Molecule: long non-coding RNA, 3057 nt
Organism: Protopterus annectens (West African lungfish)
Lineage: Eukaryota; Metazoa; Chordata; Ceratodontiformes; Protopteridae
Exons: 4
Source: RefSeq, a predicted model, not a curated record